This is a small nucleolar RNA of Lathyrus oleraceus (garden pea), 87 nucleotides long. RefSeq annotates it as small nucleolar RNA R11/Z151. The transcript has a single exon. The record is from RefSeq and is a predicted model, not a curated record. NCBI's taxonomy places the organism in Eukaryota, Viridiplantae, Streptophyta, Magnoliopsida, Fabales, Fabaceae.
AGGCUUAUGAUGAUAAUAUAAUUUAAUCUUAGCGGAUUUCAGUGAGAUUUUUAAUCAAGGAUCUGAUUGUUACACACACUGAGGCCU